This 253-nucleotide ribosomal RNA is filed under the name uncultured bacterium. Its description in RNAcentral is "partial 16S ribosomal RNA". It matches the Rfam family "Bacterial small subunit ribosomal RNA", at positions 524 to 776 of the family's 1533-position model. The record is from RNAcentral.
GACGUAGGAUGCAAGCGUUGUCCGGAAUUAUUGGGCGUAAAGAGUUCGUAGGCGGUUUGUUAAGUCUGGUGUUAAAUACCGAAGCUCAACUUCGGCAUGGCAUCGGAUACUGGCAGGCUAGAGUGCGGUAGAGGUCUCGGGAAUUCCAGGUGUAGCGGUGAAAUGCGUAGAUAUCGGAAAGAACACCAGUGGCGAAGGCGACUUACUGGGCUAAUAUUGACGCUGAGGUGCGAAAGCGUGGGGAGCAAACGGG